Ictalurus punctatus (channel catfish) is the source of this 711-nucleotide long non-coding RNA. Lineage: Eukaryota; Metazoa; Chordata; Actinopteri; Siluriformes; Ictaluridae. The record is from Ensembl.
GGGGAGGCCAUUCAUUAUGAACUCAGGUAAAAAGCAUGAAGCUGGACCAGAACUAAACAAUGAGCAGAUGCAGGACAACUGAGGAGUGAAGGUCUCCAUCCAUGGGACUGCGGUGUAAAUACUGGGCCUCCCCCAUAGGCAUAGAUCAAGGCAAUCCUACCCCCCCCCAUCCUCCACAGCGGGAGUGCCAAAGAGUAAUGAGAGGAGGGCAGCAGGAGUGGGAUUCCAGGCUGCCUCUGUGGAGAGGCUCUUUUUCCCGACUCGGCAGGAAUAUGUAGGAAAGAAGACACGCCAGGUGUUUAACAGACAUGAGGGUAAGUGAAAACUGACAGUAAGCUGCUAUUAAGCAGAAUGUAACUUCAAUGUCUAAACACAUUAUCCUGACACAGCUUUUACCCCAAACAGGUGAUGCAAGGUGGUGUGUUAUGGUCACACCUCACCGCAGUGGCAACUGUGUCAUCUGUCUGAGUUUUGCGCAUGGUAACAUGAGGACACAGGAUCAAGGCUUGGAUUGGCCAGCGGACAGACCAGCAGCGGGCCACCAUGUCCAUGUUGCUUUACGCUAAAUAGCGAACAGAGCAAAAUGUGCCAGCCUCGGUCAAGGCCGAUUGGGCAUAUGGUUUGUUUUCCCAUGAGUCAUCUAUAAACAUCGCUCAGGUGUUCGCCCUCCUUGUGUAGUGUUUUACAUGAGCUGUGUGAUGUCAUUCGGCC